GGCAGGGUCUUUCCAAGGCGCCUGCGCUAAACCGGCUUCUCGGCGCCAUUUUGUCUGAGCGGUGGUGGUCGCAGCUCUAUCGCAUUUUAUGUUUCUGGCGAGAGGAGAGCCGGGGCGUUUUCCUGUAGCUUCAUUUUAGUGCGGCACCUGUCCGCCGUUCACUCCGGGACAGCACCUUCUGAAGGUUGGAGGAGUCGGGGACGUGUCAAAAAGGUCGGUUGGAAGCUGUGGAUGUCCGAGGGACUGGGGGAUGGCGCAGCUUUAGAGGCACCGGCACCGGAAGUGGAAGGGCCGCGCGGCGGCCAUGGCAAAUUGCUCUGAAGAAAACAAGACCUUCAGUGAAAUAUCCUAAGUAUUACUGAGAUCUCUGUAUGAAUAAUGGAAGUAGAAGCAAGUGGAUAGGCUUAUCAUGUAACAAUAUCAGGAAGGAUUAUAAUAAUAAGGUACUGGAGCAGGAGAGGGAUAAGCAGGGUCCAUGCUCACAGGGAGCUAGGUGCAGGGCUUGAUCCCAGGACCCUGAGAAGAUGAUCUGAGCCGAAGGCAGAUGCCUAACCGACUGAGCUUCCCAGGUACCCCGAUGUUCAAAGUCCAGCAGUAUCCUGCUGCCAAACUCAGUGAGUAGAUUACCUUCUUAGGAAAGCAGCAGUUGGAGUGAUACUGGCAUGAGCCCAGUAAAGGUAUUAAAUUUGCUGAUGAAACUUUCCUGGGAAGACAGCAGUGAAGACAAAGAAGUAAUGACAGAUGGAAAACCAAUGAGAAGGCCCAACAGCCAAAAGGUCGAACAGCACUGUAGAGUGUAUACGCAUGUACAUACAUGGCCACUCUGUCUGCAAGAUGCUAUAAGGGGAAGAAACAGAAGAGCUUAUCAGCAAAUUUCUACUACUGUUCAAAAGGGCUCCUCAACAUAUUAUCAACUUACUUUUAAUGGAAUGUUAUAGCCAAAAUUAGAUCUAAAGUUGGAAGCUUCUUCUCUUGCAAUGUCUGCUAACGAACGAGCAUCUGCCAACAAACCCGCUACUGCCUGGAAGAAAGUACGUACCAUUAGUAGAUAAAUACAUUCCUAUCACAAAUCAAGGAAAGUGUGUAAUUACUGUAGGCUUAAUAUUUUAACAAGCAUCACCACUAAAAAUAAUUUGACUUAAAGCUCUUUAUAAGGCAUUCUGGCGUUCUGAUUGGGUGGGAUCAAAAUAAAAGUAUGGAAUUAAAAUUCAGAAAUUUACCAAGUGUGAUUUCAUUGUUUGCUGAAUGAUGACAUUUACAAGGAAUAUUUCUAUAAUUAAUCCUUCAUGUAUCCCAGUUUACCAAUUCACUAUAAAUAGGCAACAACCAGAAUAGAUCAGGACUGAUCUCUAUUUAAAACAGUUCUAUGUUCAAAUUACUGAAAGUUUUGGUCUAAAAGGCACAACCUCAAAUCUUUUUCAGCUUAUUGACUAUUAUAAACUGCGGUGACAAACCAUACAUCUUCCAAGACUGAUAGCUUACAACUACAGUUUCCAAACCAUGUGCUGAGAGAUGCUAGGGCACUACAGUGAACUAGUUACAGAACAUUUGGAAUUUGGGGGAUAGUUGUUGAAGUAGUUCACAGAUUCAACAUUAGAUCAUUCUGUAUUCCUUAUAAUGCCAUUGUAUUGUUGAGCACUUGGGUUGCUAUGAUAAAAAGGUAAGUACCACACAAAAAUGCAUGUGGAACAGGAAAUGGAGGGGAGAGACACACAUAAUCUGAUUCCGAAGUUUAGGAAGUUGUGUAGUGCACAUUAGGAAGUUUGAUUAUUUAAAAAUAAAAAUAUUUUUCUUUAAUUGUAUGUGUAUUUUUUCUCUUACAGCUACUAAGUUUUUAGAACAUAAACACCAAGUUAUUGAGACCUAAAUGCAUAAUCCAAACCAUUCAGUACUUCUUUUGGUGCAGGAAAGCAAUUAAAAAAAAUAUUACUGAAACACUUAGUCCUGGGAAUCAAGAAAGUCCAGAAACCACCUGCUUAGGAAAUUUACAGAAUUUAAAAGUGCAUACUUUGAUAAAAUAGUUAUGAUCGGGCACCUGGGUGGCUCAGUGGGUUAAGCCUCUACCUUUGGCUCAGGUCAUGAUCUGAGAGUCCUGGGAUCGA
Long non-coding RNA from Mustela erminea (ermine), 2102 nucleotides. RefSeq lists it as uncharacterized. The record is from RefSeq and is a predicted model, not a curated record. The transcript has 8 exons. Lineage: Eukaryota; Metazoa; Chordata; Mammalia; Carnivora; Mustelidae.